UGGUGGAGUGAUUUGUCUGGUUAAUUCCGUUAACGAACGAGACCUCGGCCUACUAAAUAGUCCGGCCUUCCCUUCGGGGAAAGCUAGGACUUCUUAGAGGGACUAUCGGUGUGUAGCCGAUGGAAGUUCGAGGCAAUAACA
This 141-nucleotide ribosomal RNA is filed under the name uncultured eukaryote. Its description in RNAcentral is "partial 18S ribosomal RNA". It matches the Rfam family "Eukaryotic small subunit ribosomal RNA", at positions 1299 to 1458 of the family's 1831-position model. The record is from RNAcentral.